This 399-nucleotide long non-coding RNA is filed under the name Numida meleagris (helmeted guineafowl). RNAcentral's name for it is "lncRNA (ENSNMEG00000004616.1)". Lineage: Eukaryota; Metazoa; Chordata; Aves; Galliformes; Numididae. The record is from RNAcentral.
GGUUGCAGGUGGCUUUCCUGGGUGCAGCUGUUACUGCCGUCCUCACCUCUGUUAGCACUCAGAGAAAUGAAGGGUACCUAUGGAGGAACCACAGUGCCAGUGACUUCCAGCUGUUCAGUGUCCCCAUGUUGUUGGGGCACACACAUGGAAACAGGACCAUCUCUGCAUGGCAUGCUGGGCUUCAUGCACAAUUUCCGUCUUGAAGUUGCUGCUUCCACCAAACCUGGACACCCAGCCGCUCCAAAAGCAAGAAGCUUCCAAGCCCUGUCUCUGACCUUGGCUUGCUGCAUCAAAGUAGGGAUGCUGGCAUCCCACAGAGCCACAGGUGGAGUUGCCACUUCCCAGCUGCAGAGACCAAGACAGGGCAAGAGAGCAGGGUGGGACUGCUGCAGCUCCUGA